This 493-nucleotide ribosomal RNA is filed under the name Octopus mimus. Its description in RNAcentral is "partial 16S ribosomal RNA". It matches the Rfam family "Bacterial large subunit ribosomal RNA", at positions 1836 to 2593 of the family's 2925-position model. The record is from RNAcentral. Lineage: Eukaryota; Metazoa; Mollusca; Cephalopoda; Octopoda; Octopodidae.
GAUUUUUUAAUAAAGAGUUGGGCCUGCUCGGUGAUUAAUAUUUAACAGCUGCGGUAUUAUAACUGUACUAAGGUAGCAUAAUAAUUUGCUCUAUAAAUUGGGGCUAGAAUGAAUGGUUUGACGAAAAUUUGACUGUCUCUAUCUUAUUUAUUAGAAAUUAAUUUUUGUAGUGAGAAAGCUUAAAUUAUUUAAAGGGACGAAAAGACCCUAUUGAGCUUAUAUUAUUUAAUAAAUUAUAUGAUUGUUGUUUGUUUGAAUUAAUUUUGAUUGGGGUGAUCAAGGAAUAAAUUUUAUUUAAUUUAACUUCCUUAGUUAAUUGUUCUAUGGAAGAAUAAACCAAAGUUUUUGCUUAGAAGAUAAGUUACCAUAGGGAUAACAGCGUAAUUUUUUUUGAGAGUUCAUAUUGAAAAAAGAGAUUGCGACCUCGAUGUUGGAUUAAAAUUAACCUUAAGGUGAAGAGGCUUUAUUAGGUAAAUCUGUUCGAUUUUUAAAA